CAUCCUCCAAGGCUAAAUACUCCUGACUGACCGAUAGUGAACCAGUACCGUGAGGGAAAGGCGAAAAGAACCCCGGCGAGGGGAGUGAAAAAGAACCUGAAACCGUGUACGUACAAGCAGUGGGAGCCCCACCACCAAAGCAUUCUCUGGUGUUGAAGGCCCUGCAAAGCAGCAUCGCGGUGGCGGAGCGUCGUUUGCGACGCCCAACACACAAAACAAGCGGUGAGUGCUUUGGGGUGGGGUGACUGCGUACCUUUUGUAUAAUGGGUCAGCGACUUAUAUUCUGUAGCAAGGUUAACCGUAUAGGGGAGCCGUAGGGAAACCGAGUCUUAACCGGGCGUUAAGUUGCAGGGUAUAGACCCGAAACCCGGUGAUCUAGCCAUGGGCAGGUUGAAGGUUGGGUAACACUAACUGGAGGACCGAACCGACUAAUGUUGAAAAAUUAGCGGAUGACUUGUGGCU
Molecule: ribosomal RNA, 462 nt
Filed under: Salmonella enterica subsp. enterica serovar Anatum
Lineage: Bacteria; Pseudomonadati; Pseudomonadota; Gammaproteobacteria; Enterobacterales; Enterobacteriaceae
Description: bacterial LSU rRNA
Rfam family: Bacterial large subunit ribosomal RNA
Source: RNAcentral